AACCUGCGGAAGGAUCAUUAUCGAUGGCCGCGCCGUGAGCGCCUAGCGCAAUCGGCCGGCCACUGACCACACCCUUACUUUACGAGCACCUUUUGUUCUCCUUCGGCGGGGCGACCCGCCGCUGGAACCUCAUCACGAACCUUUUUUGCAUCUAGCAUUACCUGUUCUGAUAAAUUUAAUCGUUACAACUUUCAACAAUGGAUCUCUUGGCUCUGGCAUCGAUGAAGAACGCAGCGAAAUGCGAUAAGUAGUGUGAAUUGCAGAAUUCAGUGAAUCAUCGAAUCUUUGAACGCACAUUGCGCCCCUUGGUAUUCCAUGGGGCAUGCCUGUUCGAGCGUCAUCUACACCCUCAAGCUCUGCUUGGUGUUGGGCGUCUGUCCCGCCUCCGCGCGCGGACUCGCCCCAAAGGCAUUGGCAGCGGUCCACGGCCCCUCUCGCGCAGCACAUUGCGCUUCUCGAGGCGGUCCGGCCCGCGUCCACGAAGCCCACAUUACCGUCUUUGACCUCGGAUCAGGUAGGGAUACCCGCUGAACUUAAGCAUAUCAAUAAGCG
Molecule: ribosomal RNA, 552 nt
Filed under: Paracamarosporium hawaiiense
Lineage: Eukaryota; Fungi; Ascomycota; Dothideomycetes; Pleosporales; Didymosphaeriaceae
Description: eukaryotic LSU rRNA
Rfam family: 5.8S ribosomal RNA (bases 187-340)
Source: RNAcentral